Non-coding RNA from Heterocephalus glaber (naked mole-rat), 1022 nucleotides. NCBI's taxonomy places the organism in Eukaryota, Metazoa, Chordata, Mammalia, Rodentia, Bathyergidae. The record is from RefSeq and is a predicted model, not a curated record.
GGACCACAGAAUGUUUGCCAGUUGAUGAAUGUUUGUAUGGUUUCCAGUCUCAUGCUUCUAUGAAAAAGCUGCUAUAACAUUUGUGGAGAGGUUUUAUAUGCUCAAGAAAGUCACUCGACAUGAAGAGUCUCCGAGUCCUUUUAAGGAAUCAUCUCGUUCUUUCUCCUGUCACUCCCCGUUUGCUUCACUGGCAUACGCACUGGCAGCAUAAUCCUGCAAUUUAUAAUCUGGGACGUACAGUUCAAGGCUCUGCUGAGGCAAUUAUAUUCUCCAUGAGAGGCUGCUUAACUCUGGAUGUAGAAAACUCAAGUCUGAAAGGGAGACGACAGCCGUCUCCCUACGCAUGAGGAUGGAAAGGAAGGUUUUUCUUGCAGCUGUGUGCACACAUGCGCACUUAGGGCUUUAUCUUUCUUUUUUUGUCCCCUUUGGUUUUUUGAGACAGAGUCUUGUUUUGUAGUGCAGCCUGGCCUUGAACUUAUUAUAUAGACCAGGCCUCGCACUUGCAGGAUCCUCCUGUCUCAGCCUCCGGAGUGCUGGGAUUACAGGCGUGCACCACCACACCUGGCCAGUCACUUCUUUUUUACCACAUGCAAGGGACAACAGGGUCCCCAGUGUGGGAAUUUUGAAGAACUCAGGUAAUUUGCUGACUGGUUGGCAAUGCUUUCUUUUGGUUUCUAAGGAAUAAAUCAAGACUUGCAAGCAAAAGGCUACUCCUCAUUUUGGACACCAUCUGGUUCAAUUUUUCCCAAAAUCCCAUAUCCAGGGUGACCCAGGAUGACAGUAAAUGUAAAACCUGCUGGAAUUAGGUGCCCACAUUCAAGAACCACAUUUCAGAUUUUUGGUUCAAAAAGUAAUGGUGACACAAUGGGGUCAAACGAAGCUGUCAGAAAAAUAGCUGCUAAUAAUAGCUCACAGGUUUCCAGCUCCUUGCCAGUCACCAAAUGCUUCACAUGUGCUUUUCCUUAGCCUUCACAUUAACCCUCUGAGGUAGGUCCUGUACAAUAAAGAAAACUGAGGCUUAA